GAGUCAGUUCAGGCAGACCCGAAACCGGGUGAUCUACCCAUGUCCAGGUUGAAGUUUCCGUAAAAGGAAAUGGAGGACCGAACGCACAUCCGUUGAAAAGGGUGGCGAUGAGGUGUGGGUAGGGGAGAAAUUCCAAUCGAACCCGGAGAUAGCUGGUUCUCCUCGAAAUAGCUUUAGGGCUAGCCUCGUAUUAGUUUAGCGGAGGUAGAGCACUGAAUUCUUAAGGGGGCGUCAAAGCUUACCAAGAGAUAUCAAACUCCGAAUGCCGCAUAAAUGAUGUACGGGAGUCAGACUGCACGAGAUAAGUUGGGCAGUCAAAAGGGAAAGAGCCCAGACCACCAGCUAAGGUCCCAAAGUGCGUGUUAAGUGGAAAAGGAUGUGGGAUUUCGAAGACAACUAGGAUGUUGGCUCAGAAGCAGCCACACAUUCAAAGAGUGCGUAAUAGCUCACUAGUCGAGAGGUCCUGCGCCGAAAAUGUCCGGGGCUGAAACACGACACCGAAGCUGUGGAAUGUAGCAAUACAUUGGUAGAGGAGCAUUCUUAACUGCGGCGAAGCGUUACCGUAAGGAGGCGUGGAGUGUUAAGAAGAGAGAAUGCCGGAAUGAGUAGCGAGAUGGAGGUGGGAAUCCUCCAGGCCGAAUAUCUAAGGUUUCCAGAGUAAAGCUGAUCUGCUCUGGGUAAGUCGGGGCCUAAGGCGAGGUCGAAAGACGUAGUCGAUGGACAACAGGUUGAAAUUCCUGUACCGCGUAUUAUCAGAACUGUGGGGACACAGAACCGAAGCCAAACCCGGGAAUGAAAAGACCGGGGCAAGCGCCGGACUGGUUAGACUGGAAAAUCCGUUUAACAACAGGAAAGCGUUAAGCGUACCGAACAAAAGUAGGGAAGUUGGUAUAGGGGCUGUCAAGAAAAGCCGCUAUUGUGUAAUACGUGCCCGUACCGUAAACCGACACAGGUGGAUGAGGAGAGAAUCCUAAGGCCGGCGGGAGAAGCAUUGUUAAGGAACUCGGCAAAAUGACCCUGUAACUUCGGGAUAAAGGGUGCCCACGAGAGUGGGCCGCAGAGAAUAGGCUCAAGCAACUGUUUAGCAAAAACACAGGUCUAUGCAAAACCGAAAGGUGAGGUAUAUGGGCUGACGCCUGCCCGGUGCUGGAAGGUUAAGAGGAGAGGUUAGGAGCAAUCCGAAGCUUUGAAUUUAAGCCCCAGUAAACGGCGGCCGUAACUAUAACGGUCCUAAGGUAGCGAAAUUCCUUGUCGGGUAAGUUCCGACCCGCACGAAAGGCGUAAUGAUUUGAGCGCUGUCUCGACAAUGCACCCGGUGAAAUUGAAGUACCAGUGAAGAUGCUGGUUACCUGCGCCAGGACGGAAAGACCCCAUGGAGCUUUACUCCAGCUUGAUACUGGGAUUCGGUACUGCAUGUACAGGAUAGGUGGGAGGC
Molecule: ribosomal RNA, 1435 nt
Filed under: Hungatella hathewayi
Lineage: Bacteria; Bacillati; Bacillota; Clostridia; Lachnospirales; Lachnospiraceae
Description: partial 23S ribosomal RNA
Rfam family: Bacterial large subunit ribosomal RNA
Source: RNAcentral